This 440-nucleotide ribosomal RNA is filed under the name uncultured bacterium. RNAcentral's name for it is "bacterial SSU rRNA". It matches the Rfam family "Bacterial small subunit ribosomal RNA", at positions 338 to 785 of the family's 1533-position model. The record is from RNAcentral.
CCUACGGGGGGCUGCAGUCGAGAAUCUUCCGCAAUGGGCGAAAGCCUGACGGAGCGACACCGCGUGCAGGAUGAAGGCCUUAGGGUCGUAAACUGCUGUCACGCCAUAGGAAAGCAUUUAUAUGUCUGACCAAAGCGAGAGGAAGCACCGGCUAACUCCGUGCCAGCAGCCGCGGUAAUACGGAGGGUGCAAACGUUGUUCGGAAUCACUGGGCAUAAAGGGCUCGUAGGCGGUUCAUUAAGUCAGGUGUGAAAUCCCCCGGCUCAACCGGGGAACUGCACUUGAUACUGGUGAACUAGAGUGUGGUUGGGGUGAGCGGAACUCCUGGUGGAGCGGUGAAAUGCGUAGAUAUCAGGAGGAACACCGGUGGCGAAAGCGGCUCACUGGACCACUACUGACGCUGAGGAGCGAAAGCUAGGGGAGCGAACGGGAUUAGAUAC